Molecule: ribosomal RNA, 484 nt
Filed under: uncultured bacterium
Lineage: Bacteria
Description: partial 16S ribosomal RNA
Rfam family: Bacterial small subunit ribosomal RNA
Source: RNAcentral
AUUGAACGCUGGCGGCAUGCUUUACACAUGCAAGUCGAACGGCAGCGCGGGCUUCGGCCUGGCGGCGAUUGGCGAACGGGUGAGUAAUGCAUCGGAACGUGCCCAGUAGUGGGGGAUAGCCCGGCGAAAGCCGGAUUAAUACCGCAUACGACCUGAGGGUGAAAGCGGGGGAGCGAAAGGCCGCGCGCCAUUGGGGCGGCCGAUGUCGGAUUAGCUAGUUGGUGGGGUAAAGGCUUACCAAGGCUACGCUCCGUAGCUGGUCUGAGAGGACGACCAGCCACACUGGGACAGAGACACGGCCCAGACUCCUACGGGAGGCAGCAGUGGGGAAUUUUGGACAAUGGGGGCAACCCUGAUACAGCAAUGCCGCGGGCGGGAAGAAGGCCCUCGGGUUGUAAACCGCUUUUGUUCGGGAAGAAAUCCUCUGGGCUAAUACCCCGGGGGGAUGACGGUACCGGAAGAAUAAGCACCGGCUAACUACGUG